GAGAAAGAGAAAAAUCCAGGAUGACUCUUAGAAUUAGAGUUUGAGCAAACAAGCCCAAGCAAACAAGCACAAUGUGGCAGUGCCAUAGUCUGUGAUAGCAGAGCUUAGAGAAGCCCAUGCAUGUUUGGGGGCAUUGUGGAAGGGAGUUCUUUCUUGAGCAUACGAAGUGUGAGAUGCCUGUUACAAAUGUAUAUCCUACCACACUCCUGACCUCCCAGCUUGGGGUCAGGCCCUAUACCCAAUUGCCCAUCCAACCACAUGGCAGAUCACCAGGGAUGUGAGGGAGCCCAGUGUACAGACUCCCCACUGACUGAGGGGCAUCAGGAUGCUCUUCACUGGGGACUUAGCAUAACUCAGUGUGACCCUGGGAAGCCCUCUGAGCCACCCACAAAGGAUUCUUGUCCUCAUGGUGACUGUGGUCACCCAAGCCUGUGACCAACACUGGUCUCAUUAAGAUGGGUAUCAACAGGGAAAACCCAUUGCCCCCAAGAAAGCCCGAGAGAGACAUUCGAUAAGGAGCAGCCACAUGUGUGUCUGAUGGAGCCAGAAUGAUCCCCAUAUGGACACGGGGCUCAAUGGGGCUACAUACUUUAUCCUAGAGGUUGGUCUCUCAGGACCAUGUUUUCACUUCAUCCCUGUCAGAGUAGGUCUGCAGUGGCAACCCUCAUCUCGUGGACUGUUUAAAUAUUAAAUAUCGUUCCUUCCUAGAAGGAGGAAACUCUUGAGAUGGUUCUGGAGUCCUUGGGGAUAAGAGGAGAAACACUGCCCUUUGUUAAGGAGAGAAAAUGUCCCUUGAAUGGGGAAUGGGCAACCACCUGGAAGAAACUGAUGCAGCCAGAUCUAUUUCCAGCUAUAACUGACUCACUUUCAUCUGUCAAAACAGCAUUAAGCACCAGUAAUAAGCCCUUUAAACAAACAGGCUGUUCAUCCUGAGACUGCAACAUCUUCAGCUGCAGGACCACCCCAGGAGGAAAUACUGCAGGAGAUUAGCCUCUUCUUUUAGCAGGGGGAGAAGAAGGGGAAAAGGAGGCUUGGAAUGGAAUUCUGCCAAUGAUCCUCUCCCUCCGUGGGGCCAUUGGACUCUGCAGGGUGCUGGGUCUAAUAGGACACCAAUGAAAAGUUAGGGAGCAUGUUCAUUAGCCCUUGCCUUGGUGGGACCUUACCUGGUGUUCACUGCAAGUGGAGGAAUGGGCUGGGGAGGGAUGCAGUACAAAGUCACACGAGAAAAGACCAAGGGAUUGUAGAGAGGAAGGCUGAGGAGGAAUCCGGCCAAGAGGCACUGUGGCCUAGCAUCAAAACCAUGGGCUUUGGCAGUAGCGACACCUCCAAAGGGUCCAGACCCCAGCUCCGUGACUGGCUUGGUUGUAUCACCUGCCUUCCCCCAGAGCCCCGCAGAAGACACAUGUAAUUAAUCAAUCGUGCCUACUGUGAUUGUGGCAGCUGCCACCUGCCACUUGGAGAGCUACAAUGUGGGAAAGACAUAAGACUUGUCCUAUGGACUCAAGAGUUCCAGAGGCUGGAGCCACAAGGAGGAGAGUGCAAUAGGCUGAAUUUAAGACAGGACUCUGUAGUAGUCAGAGCAGUGGACUAAGUUAAACCAGUCACUCAUGAGUUCUUCACCUUGAAGUCCCAAUAAUGGACUGCAGUUUGCAAAAUAAUCUUGUUUCCUUAUGUUAAGAUGUGUUACCCAAUAAACCCCCUGUUUAUAGGGUAUGUGGGGGGGGGUGUGAAUGAACUUUUAUUGUGAUAAAAUAUACAUAACAUAAAAUUUAUGAUUUUAAUGA
This 1784-nucleotide long non-coding RNA is filed under the name Homo sapiens (human). RNAcentral's name for it is "non-protein coding lnc-SLCO3A1-2:2". The record is from RNAcentral. Lineage: Eukaryota; Metazoa; Chordata; Mammalia; Primates; Hominidae.